Molecule: ribosomal RNA, 468 nt
Filed under: uncultured bacterium
Lineage: Bacteria
Description: partial 16S ribosomal RNA
Rfam family: Bacterial small subunit ribosomal RNA
Source: RNAcentral
GACGAACGCUGGCGGCGUGCUUAACACAUGCAAGUCGAACGGAAAGACCCUGCUUUUGUGGGGUGCUCGAGUGGCGAACGGGUGAGUAACACGUGAGUAACCUGCCCUUGACUUUGGGAUAACUUCAGGAAACUGGGGCUAAUACCGGAUAGGAGCUCCUGCUGCAUGGUGGGGGUUGGAAAGUUUCGGCGGUUGGGGAUGGACUCGCGGCUUAUCAGCUUGUUGGUGGGGUAGUGGCUUACCAAGGCUUUGACGGGUAGCCGGCCUGAGAGGGUGACCGGCCAUAUUGGGACUGAGGUACGGCCCAGACUCCUACGGGAGGCAGCAGUGGGGAAUAUUGCACAAUGGGCGGAAGCCUGAUGCAGCAACGCCGCGUGCGGGAUGACGGCCUUCGGGUUGUAAACCGCUUUCGCCUGUGACGAAGCGUGAGUGACGGUAAUGGGUAAAGAAGCACCGGCUAACUACGUG